UACGUAGGGGGCAAGCGUUGUCCGGAGUUACUGGGCGUAAAGCGCACGCAGGCGGUCUCCUAAGUUUGGAGUGACAGUUGGUGGCUUAACUGCCAAAGUGCUUCGAAAACUGAGAGACUUGAGGGCUUCAGAGGGACACGGAAUUCCGGGUGGAGUGGUGAAAUGCGUAGAGAUCCGGAGGAACACCAAAGGCGAAGGCAGUGUCCUGGGGAGUACCUGACGCUCAGGUGCGAAAGCCAGGGGAGCGAACGGG
This 253-nucleotide ribosomal RNA is filed under the name uncultured bacterium. Its description in RNAcentral is "partial 16S ribosomal RNA". It matches the Rfam family "Bacterial small subunit ribosomal RNA", at positions 524 to 776 of the family's 1533-position model. The record is from RNAcentral.